RNAcentral lists this ribosomal RNA (468 nucleotides) under uncultured bacterium. RNAcentral describes it as "partial 16S ribosomal RNA". It matches the Rfam family "Bacterial small subunit ribosomal RNA", at positions 28 to 507 of the family's 1533-position model. The record is from RNAcentral.
GACGAACGCUGGCGGCGUGCUUAACACAUGCAAGUCGAACGGAAAGGCCCUGCUUUUGUGGGGUGCUCGAGUGGCGAACGGGUGAGUAACACGUGAGUAACCUGCCCUUGACUUUGGGAUAACUUCAGGAAACUGGGGCUAAUACCGGAUAGGAGCUCCUGCUGCAUGGUGGGGGUUGGAAAGUUUCGGCGGUUGGGGAUGGACUCGCGGCUUAUCAGCUUGUUGGUGGGGUAGUGGCUUACCAAGGCUUUGACGGGUAGCCGGCCUGAGAGGGUGACCGGCCACAUUGGGACUGAGAUACGGCCCAGACUCCUACGGGAGGCAGCAGUGGGGAAUAUUGAACAAUGGGCGGAAGCCUGAUGCAGCAACGCCGCGUGCGGGAUGACGGCCUUCGGGUUGUAAACCGCUUUCGCCUGUGACGAAGCGUGAGUGACGGUAAUGGGUAAAGAAGCACCGGCUAAAUAAGUG